GGCUUCGUGGCCUAAUGGCUAGGGCGCUAGAUUUCGGCUCUAGAGAUUGUCGGUUCGAGUCCGGCCGAAGUCG
RNAcentral lists this transfer RNA (73 nucleotides) under Xylariales sp. No.14919. Its description in RNAcentral is "fungal sp. No.14919 tRNA-Arg". It matches the Rfam family "tRNA". Rfam says of the family: Transfer RNA (tRNA) molecules are approximately 80 nucleotides in length. Their secondary structure includes four short double-helical elements and three loops (D, anti-codon, and T loops). Further hydrogen bonds mediate the characteristic L-shaped molecular structure. tRNAs have two regions of fundamental functional importance: the anti-codon, which is responsible for specific mRNA codon recognition, and the 3' end, to which the tRNAs corresponding amino acid is attached (by aminoacyl-tRNA synthetases). tRNAs cope with the degeneracy of the genetic code in two manners: having more than one tRNA (with a specific anti-codon) for a particular amino acid; and 'wobble' base-pairing, i.e. permitting non-standard base-pairing at the 3rd anti-codon position. The record is from RNAcentral. Lineage: Eukaryota; Fungi; Ascomycota; Sordariomycetes; Xylariales.